RNAcentral lists this unclassified non-coding RNA (973 nucleotides) under Hevea brasiliensis (rubber tree). Lineage: Eukaryota; Viridiplantae; Streptophyta; Magnoliopsida; Malpighiales; Euphorbiaceae. The record is from RNAcentral.
UCUUCAUCCUCUUCUCCCUCCUUUUCCUCCUCAUCAUCAUCAUUUAACCGUUUCCAAGAUGAAAGCUUAGAACCCAAAUGAUGGCCCUUUUCAUCUUCAAUAAACUCUCCAGGGGAUUUAUCUUCUUCCACUCGAAGACUUUCAUCUUCCACAUUUUGAAUCAGAGAAUAAUUCUCAACAGCCUCCCCAUUAGUCAAGAUCUCUCUAAUCCCUUGUUUCUCCUCGUAAAUUUCCCCGUUCUUCUCAUAUUCCAAAUCAUCAAAUUCUCUCUGCACUUCUCCAAUCACUUUUUUCUUAAAUUUAAUAUCCUGAGAACGCUCAUCAAUCAGUGGCACAUAAUCAUCUAAACCAACAUCUCCCUCAAUCUUACUGACCCUAUUCUUCUCCCAAUUCUCUUCUCGAAUGGCUUCCUUUUCUGUAUCCUUUCUCUUCCCCUCAAAAUUCUCUAUAAAAAAGCUCCCAUCUUUCUCAACAACAACAGUGGCAUCCCCUAGAACCCCUGCUUUCAAAGAAGAAAUCUCAUGGGAAACUUCUUCUUCUUUCUCUUUUUCAAUUUCAGGGAUAUUUGGUUCCCCAAAACUCAAUAGGGUACCAAGCAAAACAGCAGUACAAACCAAAACAGGGGAUGCAGAGACUAAAAGGGAAAACAAAAAGGGAAAUGAUCUGUACAGGUAUAUCAAGAAACACACCAACCCCACAAGAAAUGGAUGUUUACAAACUGAUUUAUAAGAUGUCCUAAUUGAAACGAUAAAAAAUCUCCUGAUUUGAACUCUAAUUCUCAUUACAUCAAGACCCAUUCUCUUUCUUUCUAUUUCUCUGUUUCCAAUCCCAAUCUCAAAUUUCCAAUCAAAGGAAAUACAGAAAAUCGGUUGAUGAUUAUAUUCAAUACCAGAUUGAAACAGAGAUCAAAGUGUUAAAAAGAGAAGGAAAUGGAAUCCUUUCCUUUGCUUUUCUCCCUCUUUUCUGUUCCUUG